CCUCACAGUCCUGGAACUCUACAAGGUUAAGCAUGUUUGCCCAAGAAAUACGGAUAAUGCUCUUAGCACGUAUGACCUUUACGAUAUGUGGAACACUGUCCGUGACAAAAAUGCCAUUUUUUAAAUGGUUUUCACGCCGGGGUAUCCAGCCAUUAAUCAUGCUGCAUAUGAGUGACUGUAGGGGCUGCCUAGAAAAUCCUAGAGCCCCACGUUAGAUUCCUGGCGGGCCAAGGGCUGUGUGUGAACCUUGACUUCAUUAGGAUCUGCACCGCCGAUGGCUUCCUGGGCUGGGUGGCCCCCGGGGGCUCCUGCAAAAGAGCCUGGCUUCUCAGCACCUUCACAGGAGUGGCCACGGGCUCCUUAUUUUAAGGUGUCUUUGUGUCCUUGGAGCUGAUAAAUAACUCAUUUUGGAUGCCUCUGCUGAGCCUGCAUAUUUAGUGCCCACGAACUGCAUCUCAGAUGCUGGAGGCUAUGCCGCCCCUCUCCCUCCCUCUCCCGGCUGCAGAGCUGGGCAUUGCUCAGUAGGGGAAUGGCUGAUGCUGGGCGCCGGCCUGAUUGGAGGGAAGUGAUAGAAUUCAGGAUUUUUACUUCCAAAAAGGCAUUUUCCAGGGUCAGCCAGUUAAUACCUGCACAGCCCCAGUCAGAGAGCCCCCAGACGCCUGUGGGUCCCAAGCACGAGAAAAUGAGUCUGGUCUGUGUCGAGAGGCACUGGGUGUGCAGAACACACACAGGAUUUCAAAAGCUUGAUAUAAAAAGCACAAACUACCUCAUUCAUAAUUUUCACACUGAUUAGAUGUUGAAAUGAUAAUGUUUUGGAGAUACUGGGUUAGAUCAUAUGUAUUAUUAAACUUAACUUUACCUUUUCUUUUUGACUUAUUUCUUGUGGCCACUAGAAAGUUUAAAAUUGCCGACGUGGCUUGCAUCUUACCUCUGUCAGAAGCUCAGGCCACACACCCAUGCAGAGACCC
This 968-nucleotide long non-coding RNA is filed under the name Homo sapiens (human). RNAcentral describes it as "HSALNT0391842". The record is from RNAcentral. Lineage: Eukaryota; Metazoa; Chordata; Mammalia; Primates; Hominidae.